AAAGAGAAGAGAAGUUGGAGAUUUCUCUUGUUUGGUAAGAAGAGAAAUUGAGAAGAGAGAAGAAUAAAUGGUGGGUCCCAUACCUUUUUGUUUUCUCUUCAAAAGUGAGAAGAAAGAGGGAAGAAGACAAAAAUGUCAAAUACUCCUUCCGGUCUCAAAUGUAGGGAAAAAAAAAAAGCACACCAAUUAAGAAAAUGAAUUGAUUACAUUGAAGUCAUGUUAAAAAAUGUACAACUUUCCAAUUUUGCCCUUGUCAUGUUUUAGUAAUAAUUAAUGAAAGU
RNAcentral lists this long non-coding RNA (281 nucleotides) under Medicago truncatula (barrel medic). RNAcentral describes it as "long non-coding RNA (MTRU_LNC003575)". Lineage: Eukaryota; Viridiplantae; Streptophyta; Magnoliopsida; Fabales; Fabaceae. The record is from RNAcentral.